AGGGUUUGAUCCCUGGCUCAGAACGUACGCUGGCGGCACGCCUAACACAUGCAAGUCGAACGAAGUAGCAAUACUUAGUGGCAGACGGGUGAGUAACAUGUGGGUAUCUGCCCUUUGGCCUGGAAUAACACGAGGAAACUUGUGCUAAUACCGGAUAAGUCUUUACGGAGAAAGCUUUAUGCACCAUUGGAUGAGCCCGCACUUGAUUAGUUUGUUGGUGGGGUAAUGGCCUACCAAGACUGUGAUCAAUAGCUGAUUUGAGAGGAUGAUCAGCCACAUUGGGACUGAGACACGGCCCAAACUCCUACGGGAGGCAGCAGUGGGGAAUCUUGCACAAUGGAGGAAACUCUGAUGCAGCGAUGCCGCGUGAGUGAAGAAGGCCCUUGGGUUGUAAAGCUCUUUCGUCGGGGAAGAAAAUGACUGUACCCGAAUAAGAAGGUCCGGCUAACUUCGUGCCAGCAGCCGCGGUAAUACGAAGGGACCUAGCGUAGUUCGGAAUUACUGGGCUUAAAGAGUUCGUAGGUGGUUGAAAAAGUUAGUGGUGAAAUCCCAGAGCUUAACUCUGGAACUGCCAUUAAAACUUUUCAGCUAGAGUAUGAUAGAGGAAAGCAGAAUUUCUAGUGUAGAGGUGAAAUUCGUAGAUAUUAGAAAGAAUACCAAUUGCGAAGGCAGCUUUCUGGAUCAUUACUGACACUGAGGAACGAAAGCAUGGGUAGCGAAGAGGAUUAGAUACCCUCGUAGUCCAUGCCGUAAACGAUGUGUGUUAGACGUUGGAAAUUUAUUUUCAGUGUCGCAGGGAAACCGAUAAACACACCGCCUGGGGAGUACGACCGCAAGGUUAAAACUCAAAUGAAUUGACGGGGACCCGCACAAGUAGUGGAGCAUGUGGUUUAAUUCGAAGAUACGCGCAGAACCUUACCAACACUUGACAUGUUCGUCGCGACUCUAAGAGAUUAGAGUUUUCGGUUCGGCCGGACGAAACACAGGUGCUGCAUGGCUGUCGUCAGCUCGUGUCGUGAGAUGUUGGGUUAAGUCCCGCAACGAGCGCAACCCUCACUUUUAGUUGCCAUCAUUAAGUUGGGCACUCUGAAAGAACUGCCAGUGAUAAGCUGGAGGAAGGUGGGGAUGACGUCAAGUCCUCAUGGCCCUUACGUGUUGGGCUACACACGUGCUACAAUGGCAUCUACAACAGGAAGCAAAACGGCAACGUUAAGCAAAUCCCGAAAAGAUGCCUCAGUUCGGAUUGCACUCUGCAACUCGAGUGCAUGAAGCUGGAAUUACUAGUAAUCGUGGAUCAGCGUGCCACGGUGAAUGCGUUCCCGGGUCUUGUACACACCGCCCGUCACACCAUGGGAGUUGGUUCUACCUUAAGGCAAGGUUUUAAACCCUUGACCACGGUAUAGUCAGCGACUGGGGUGAAGUCGUAACAAGGUAGCCGUA
RNAcentral lists this ribosomal RNA (1440 nucleotides) under uncultured bacterium. Its description in RNAcentral is "bacterial SSU rRNA". It matches the Rfam family "Bacterial small subunit ribosomal RNA". The record is from RNAcentral.